GUGUCAGCAGCCGCGGUAAUACAGAGGGUGCUAGCGUUAAUCGGAUUUACUGGGCGUAAAGCGUGCGUAGGUGGUUUGAUAAGUCGAUUGUGAAAGCCCCGGGCUUAACCUGGGAAUUGCGGUCGAUACUGUCAGACUCGAAAACGGUAGAGGGAGGUGGAACUCCAGGUGUAGCGGUGAAAUGCGUAGAUAUCUGGAAGAACACCGAUGGCGAAGGCAGCCUCCUGGGCCUGUUUUGACACUGAGGCACGAAAGCGUGGGUAGCAAACAGGAUUAGAUACCCUGGUAGUCCACGCCGUAAACGAUGAGAACUUGACGUUGGUUUGCUUAGCAAAUCGGUGUCGUAGCUAACGCGAUAAGUUCUCCGCCUGGGGAGUACGGCCGCAAGGUUGAA
Molecule: ribosomal RNA, 394 nt
Filed under: uncultured bacterium
Lineage: Bacteria
Description: bacterial SSU rRNA
Rfam family: Bacterial small subunit ribosomal RNA
Source: RNAcentral